AUAGGAAUAGGGUCAAAAGAGACAUUCUUCCUCUCAAAAUUUUAUUGGUGAUGAUUGUUGUUGUUGUAGUUGGUUCUUUAUUGCGGUUGUUGAUGAUGUUAUUGAAAAAAACCAUAGUUAUUGAUGAAACUUGGUCUUGAUGUUGACGAGGUUGAGAACUCUUCCUGACAUGAGGCCUCAUCUUCCUCCCCACUGAUACUGAAUUAGUUUCUCCUUCCUUCCUCUUGGAGAAAUG
RNAcentral lists this long non-coding RNA (235 nucleotides) under Lathyrus oleraceus (garden pea). RNAcentral describes it as "Pisum sativum (pea) long non-coding RNA (PSAT_LNC007103)". The record is from RNAcentral. Lineage: Eukaryota; Viridiplantae; Streptophyta; Magnoliopsida; Fabales; Fabaceae.